GACGAACGCUGGCGGCGUGCUUAACACAUGCAAGUCGAACGGAAAGGCCCUGCUUUUGUGGGGUGCUCGAGUGGCGAACGGGUGAGUAACACGUGAGUAACCUGCCCUUGACUUUGGGAUAACUUCAGGCAACUGGGGCUAAUACCUGAUAGGAGCUCCUGCUGCAUGGUGGGGGUUGGAAAGUUUCGGCGGUUGGGGAUGGACUCGCGGCUUAUCAGCUUGUUGGUGGGGUAGUGGCUUACCAAGGCUUUGACGGGUAGCCGGCCUGAGAGGGUGACCGGCCACAUUGGGACUGAGAUACGGCCCAGACUCCUACGGGAGGCAGCAGUGGGGAAUAUUGCACAAUGGGCGGAAGCCUGAUGCAGCAACGCCGCGUGCGGGAUGACGGCCUUCGGGUUGUAAACCGCUUUCGCCUGUGACGAAGCGUGAGUGACGGUAAUGGGUAAAGAAGCACCGGCUAACUACGUG
This 468-nucleotide ribosomal RNA is filed under the name uncultured bacterium. Its description in RNAcentral is "partial 16S ribosomal RNA". It matches the Rfam family "Bacterial small subunit ribosomal RNA", at positions 28 to 507 of the family's 1533-position model. The record is from RNAcentral.